RNAcentral lists this ribosomal RNA (1675 nucleotides) under Campylobacter jejuni. Its description in RNAcentral is "partial 23S ribosomal RNA". It matches the Rfam family "Bacterial large subunit ribosomal RNA", at positions 1268 to 2925 of the family's 2925-position model. The record is from RNAcentral. Lineage: Bacteria; Pseudomonadati; Campylobacterota; Epsilonproteobacteria; Campylobacterales; Campylobacteraceae.
GAGUGCUGGAGCGAAUAGAAGUGAGCAUGCAGGCAUGAGUAGCGAUAAUUAAUGUGAGAAUCAUUAACGCCGUAAACCCAAGGUUUCCUACGCGAUGCUCGUCAUCGUAGGGUUAGUCGGGUCCUAAGUCGAGUCCGAAAGGGGUAGACGAUGGCAAAUUGGUUAAUAUUCCAAUACCAACAUUAGUGUGCGAUGGAAGGACGCUUAGGGCUAAGGGGGCUAGCGGAUGGAAGUGCUAGUCUAAGGUCGUAGGAGGUUGUACAGGCAAAUCCGUAUAACAAUACUCCGAGAACUGAAAGGCUUUUUGAAGUCUUCGGAUGGAUAGAAGAACCCCUGAUGCCGUCGAGCCAAGAAAAGUUUCUAAGUUUAGCUAAUGUUGCCCGUACCGUAAACCGACACAGGUGGGUGGGAUGAGUAUUCUAAGGCGCGUGGAAGAACUCUCUUUAAGGAACUCUGCAAAAUAGCACCGUAUCUUCGGUAUAAGGUGUGGUUAGCUUUGUAUUAGGAUUUACUCCGAAAGCAAGGAAACUUACAACAAAGAGUCCCUCCCGACUGUUUACCAAAAACACAGCACUCUGCUAACUCGUAAGAGGAUGUAUAGGGUGUGACGCCUGCCCGGUGCUCGAAGGUUAAUUGAUGGGGUUAGCAUUAGCGAAGCUCUUGAUCGAAGCCCGAGUAAACGGCGGCCGUAACUAUAACGGUCCUAAGGUAGCGAAAUUCCUUGUCGGUUAAAUACCGACCUGCAUGAAUGGCGUAACGAGAUGGGAGCUGUCUCAAAGAGGGAUCCAGUGAAAUUGUAGUGGAGGUGAAAAUUCCUCCUACCCGCGGCAAGACGGAAAGACCCCGUGGACCUUUACUACAGCUUGACACUGCUACUUGGAUAAGAAUGUGCAGGAUAGGUGGGAGGCUUUGAGUAUAUGACGCCAGUUGUAUAUGAGCCAUUGUUGAGAUACCACUCUUUCUUAUUUGGGUAGCUAACCAGCUUGAGUUAUCCUCAAGUGGGACAAUGUCUGGUGGGUAGUUUGACUGGGGCGGUCGCCUCCCAAAUAAUAACGGAGGCUUACAAAGGUUGGCUCAGAACGGUUGGAAAUCGUUCGUAGAGUAUAAAGGUAUAAGCCAGCUUAACUGCAAGACAUACAAGUCAAGCAGAGACGAAAGUCGGUCUUAGUGAUCCGGUGGUUCUGUGUGGAAGGGCCAUCGCUCAAAGGAUAAAAGGUACCCCGGGGAUAACAGGCUGAUCUCCCCCAAGAGCUCACAUCGACGGGGAGGUUUGGCACCUCGAUGUCGGCUCAUCGCAUCCUGGGGCUGGAGCAGGUCCCAAGGGUAUGGCUGUUCGCCAUUUAAAGCGGUACGCGAGCUGGGUUCAGAACGUCGUGAGACAGUUCGGUCCCUAUCUGCCGUGGGCGUAAGAAGAUUGAAGAGAUUUGACCCUAGUACGAGAGGACCGGGUUGAACAAACCACUGGUGUAGCUGUUGUUCUGCCAAGAGCAUCGCAGCGUAGCUAAGUUUGGAAAGGAUAAACGCUGAAAGCAUCUAAGCGUGAAGCCAACUCUAAGAUGAAUCUUCUCUAAGCUCUCUAGAAGACUACUAGUUUGAUAGGCUGGGUGUGUAAUGGAUGAAAGUCCUUUAGCUGACCAGUACUAAUAGAGCGUUUGGCUUAUCUUUAAUAAAGCAU